UCGGGCCUACGGGGGGCAGCAGUGAGGAAUAUUGGUCAAUGGACGGAAGUCUGAACCAGCCAUGCCGCGUGCAGGAAGACGGCUCUAUGAGUUGUAAACUGCUUUUGUACAAGGGUAAACCUGAAUACGUGUAUUCAGCUGAAAGUACUGUACGAAUAAGGAUCGGCUAACUCCGUGCCAGCAGCCGCGGUAAUACGGAGGAUCCAAGCGUUAUCCGGAUUUAUUGGGUUUAAAGGGUGCGUAGGCGGAUUGAUAAGUUAGAGGUGAAAUCCCGAGGCUCAACUUCGGAAUUGCCUCUGAUACUG
This 305-nucleotide ribosomal RNA is filed under the name uncultured bacterium. Its description in RNAcentral is "bacterial SSU rRNA". It matches the Rfam family "Bacterial small subunit ribosomal RNA", at positions 331 to 635 of the family's 1533-position model. The record is from RNAcentral.